GGUUGCAGCGGCAGUUGAAGGAACCGAUCGUGUUGCGGCAAGUUCCAUUCCCACAGGCGUCUCGCUCACACUCAUUUAUGUCUAGUAGGAACAAAGGCCGUAGAGAAACGUGGUCGUUAACAGAAGAGAUAAGUUAUCGGUGAUCCUAAACCAGAAAGCUACUGCUGACCCCAAAGUGAUCCAAUAUGUGUGUGUCUGUGGUUGAAGACUGCAUCCACGAUCUACAAAUUUGCCUCUGAGGAUACGGCACAAACCAUGGACCCUUCUCAAAAUAUGCUCAUAUUCAAACACUCAAAAGCUGCACUCUAUUCCAAUAAGGCAAACCCAUAGACAAUAAAAUAAUAGGCUAUUAACAUUAAUAAAAAGUAUUUUUUGUCUUAAUAUCUUUCUGUUUUUCCUUUAGUCAAAAGUUUUUCUGACCUGGCAGCCAAAUGAAUAUCAAGGAAGAGGUUUAUUGUGUUCAGAUUGCCAAAGAUUAAAUACCAAAGGAUGUUAAUGCUACACACCUACUUGUGUUUUCAUUUUAUAAAUGGAAAAAUUAAUACUGAAGGUUUAGUAUCAAUUUUUAUAUAUAUUCAGAUGCAAAUGAAUUUUUCGAUAGGAUAGAAGUUAAAAAUACAAUGAUAAUCACGUACUCACCCAAACA
Felis catus (domestic cat) is the source of this 646-nucleotide long non-coding RNA. RefSeq lists it as uncharacterized. The transcript has 3 exons. Lineage: Eukaryota; Metazoa; Chordata; Mammalia; Carnivora; Felidae. The record is from RefSeq and is a predicted model, not a curated record.